This 254-nucleotide ribosomal RNA is filed under the name uncultured bacterium. Its description in RNAcentral is "partial 16S ribosomal RNA". It matches the Rfam family "Bacterial small subunit ribosomal RNA", at positions 524 to 776 of the family's 1533-position model. The record is from RNAcentral.
UACGUAGGUGGCAAGCGUUGUCCGGAAUUAUUGGGCGUAAAGCGCGUGUAGGCGGGUCGUUAAGUGUCCGCGUGAAAUCCCACGGCUCAACCGUGGAACUGCUGGGCAUACUGGGAGUCUUGGGCCAUUCAGGGGCAACUGGAACAAGCGGUGGAGCGGUGAAAUGCGUAGAUAUCGCUUGGAACGCCGAAGGUGAAAACAGGUUGCUGGGGAUGUGCCGACGCUGAGACGCGAAAGCCAGGGGAGCAAACGGG